This is a long non-coding RNA of Ornithorhynchus anatinus (platypus), 386 nucleotides long. RefSeq lists it as uncharacterized. The record is from RefSeq and is a predicted model, not a curated record. NCBI's taxonomy places the organism in Eukaryota, Metazoa, Chordata, Mammalia, Monotremata, Ornithorhynchidae. The transcript has 3 exons.
CGGAGCUGGGACGAGAAGCCACGUCCUCUUACUCCCAAGCCCGGGCUCUUACCACGAGCCACGCUGUUUCUCGAGCGAAAGAACUUGGAACGGCAGGCCCGGGCUCUAACCAUUGAGCCACACUGCUUCUCCUGCUACUCACGCUGGUGGUCCACAUGGAGACGGCGUAGGCUCCCGCCUCCAUCUGGUUGAGUCGCUUUGUCUCCUCUAGCCGUUGCCCGUACCUGCGGGCUUCACCCUCCUCGUUGGCAAAGCUGCGCACCGUGGCCAUGGCGGACAGUGCCUCCACCGCCACCCGGCUCGACUCGGCCAGCGACGUCUGCACCUGCGCCGCCAGGCCCUGAGGACAAGGGGUCGGAGCAUUAUUAUAGAGAAGGAGCAUGGCU